This 87-nucleotide transfer RNA is filed under the name Minwuia thermotolerans. RNAcentral describes it as "tRNA-Leu". It matches the Rfam family "tRNA". From Rfam's summary of the family: Transfer RNA (tRNA) molecules are approximately 80 nucleotides in length. Their secondary structure includes four short double-helical elements and three loops (D, anti-codon, and T loops). The record is from RNAcentral. RNAcentral also lists the same sequence under 1 other name. Lineage: Bacteria; Pseudomonadati; Pseudomonadota; Alphaproteobacteria; Minwuiales; Minwuiaceae.
GCCCCAGUGGCGGAAUCGGUAGACGCGGUAGACUCAAAAUCUGCUUCCGGUAACGGAGUGCCCGUUCGAGUCGGGCCUGGGGCACCA